Molecule: ribosomal RNA, 399 nt
Filed under: uncultured bacterium
Lineage: Bacteria
Description: bacterial SSU rRNA
Rfam family: Bacterial small subunit ribosomal RNA
Source: RNAcentral
GGGGAAUCUUGCGCAAUGGGCGAAAGCCUGACGCAGCCAUGCCGCGUGGAUGAUGAAGGUCUUAGGAUUGUAAAAUCCUUUCAGCGGGGACGAUAAUGACGGUACCCGCAGAAGAAGCCCCGGCUAACUUCGUGCCAGCAGCCGCGGUAAUACGAAGGGGGCUAGCGUUGCUCGGAAUUACUGGGCGUAAAGGGCGCGUAGGCGGACAGUUAAGUCGGGGGUGAAAGCCCGGGGCUCAACCUCGGAAUUGCCUUCGAUACUGGCUGUCUUGAGUGUGAGAGAGGUGUGUGGAACUCCGAGUGUAGAGGUGAAAUUCGUAGAUAUUCGGAAGAACACCAGUGGCGAAGGCGACACACUGGCUCACUACUGACGCUGAGGCGCGAAAGCGUGGGGAGCAAA